This 449-nucleotide long non-coding RNA is filed under the name Mustela putorius furo (domestic ferret). RNAcentral describes it as "lncRNA (ENSMPUG00000024874.1)". The record is from RNAcentral. Lineage: Eukaryota; Metazoa; Chordata; Mammalia; Carnivora; Mustelidae.
UAUUAUUAAAAUGGCUUUAUGUGAGAUGAUUUUUUAAAAGAUUUUAUUUAUUUAUUUGCCAGAGAGAGAGAAAGAGCACAAGCAGGGCUAGCAGCACGCAGAGGGAGGAACAUGCUCCCCGCUCCUGAGCAAGGAGCCUGAUGUGGGACUCAAUUCCAGGACCUUGGGAUCAUGACCUGAGCCAAAGGCAGAUGCUUGACGGACUGAGCCACCCAGAUGAUUUUGCCCAGUGCAGGCUAAUAACCGAGAAGACCCUUAAGGCAUUGGAUCAAACUGCUGACAGUGAGCUCUUCCUUGUUGCAAGAAAUAAGUCAUCUCUUCUUCCUUAUUGCAAGAAGUGUGGAUUUCAUUCAAACCCUCUGUGUGCCUUCCAGGACUGUUGGGUAAGACAGUUUAGAGUUAACUAUAUUUGGAAAUACAGAUAUAACUAUAAAUAUAACUGUAUUUGG